Molecule: ribosomal RNA, 468 nt
Filed under: uncultured bacterium
Lineage: Bacteria
Description: partial 16S ribosomal RNA
Rfam family: Bacterial small subunit ribosomal RNA
Source: RNAcentral
GACGAACGCUGGCGGCGUGCUUAACACAUGCAAGUCGAACGGAAAGGCCCUGCUUUUGUGGGGUGCUCGAGUGGCGAACGGGUGGGUAACACGUGAGUAACCUGCCCUUGACUUUGGGAUAACUUCAGGAAACUGGGGCUAAUACCGGAUAGCAGCUCCUGCUGCAUGGUGGGGGUUGGAAAGUUUCGGCGGUUGGGGAUGGACUCGCGGCUUAUUAGCUUGUUGGUGGGGUAGUGGCUUACCAAGGCUUUGACGGGUAGCCGGCCUGAGAGGGUGACCGGCCACAUUGGGACUGAGAUACGGCCCAGACUCCUACGGGAGGCAGCAGUGGGGAAUAUUGCACAAUGGGCGGAAGCCUGAUGCAGCAACGCCGCGUGCGGGAUGACGGCCUUCGGGUUGUAAACCGCUUUCGCCUGUGACGAAGCGUGAGUGACGGUAAUGGGUAAAGAAGCACCGGCUAACUACGUG